Molecule: long non-coding RNA, 1716 nt
Organism: Humulus lupulus (European hop)
Lineage: Eukaryota; Viridiplantae; Streptophyta; Magnoliopsida; Rosales; Cannabaceae
Exons: 2
Source: RefSeq, a predicted model, not a curated record
CAUGGAAAGGGUGGCAUCUAGUAAGACAUCAGUAAGCACUGUACUUCCGAGUUCUGUUUGUCUUUGUUAAGAGGAAUUGUUGAAAAUUUAGUUUGCCAUAUUAUAAAUCAGAAGAAGAAUAGCUUUCAUUUUCUUUUAUAUGCACACUUCAUAUCAAGAAAAAAUGUGUUUUCUGUUGAUUCUUUAUUGUUUGUAAUUGUGGAAUUACUACAUUUCUUGUUCUGUUAGGAGGCAAAUCUUAUAACUAGAUUGAUUGGUUGGCAGAACUAUCUUGUUUCUUCAUUAUAUUUGUGUAAUGUGAAGGAAAAUGACUACACUUUGUUACACAUUCUUACAUGGCAUUUAAACUCAUCUGUGCCAUUUUCAAGUUCAAGAUUUCCCCCCUCUCGUUUUCAGUUUUUUUUUAUUUUUUUCUUAUUUUUUGCUAACUGAAAAUCUUAAUCAGGCUAAAGCAGUUGUAAUUGGUCUUGGAGCUGGUUUGCUCCCUAUGUUCCUUCAUGGAUGCAUGCCCUUUUUGCACAUUGAGGUAAUACUGGGUUUACAUUAUGAACCACUUGUGGAUUUAGAGUUAUUAUUUCAUCAAAUAUGAAUAAUUGUAAGUGGUGAUAAUUUGGUUGUGCUUUAUGGGAUAUAGGUGGUGGAGCUAGAUCCGGUGGUUCUUGAUCUUGCAAAGGGGUACUUUGGUUUUACUGAAGAAGAUCAUUUGCAGGUAAGUUUACUGAUCAUGCAAUCAUGAUUCAUGAUUCCUUCCCCCUUCCCAUUUUGUCAUGUAAAAAGACAUUUUGGACCAUUUUAGUACUAUUUGCCAAAAAAAUUAUAUGCAUAGAAAAAGAACUUUGGCUGGACCAUACCUGUGUGUAGGGGUGAAAAUUUGGGAAUGAAACUCAGGGUCCAAUUUCUGAUCCCUCUAGUUAAGUUUUCUUUGUACAUUAGUUCUUAGGUGCUACACUGCACCUUCUGUGGGAAUGGUAGACUGCCGCGGACCAUUAGUUUUACAAUUCUAGUUGGCUAAUGAGUUUUUUUUUUUUUUUUUAAAUCACCAAUUGAUAGUUUUUUGUACUAUGUACUGUAUUGAUGACUUCUAGAUUCUAUUUGGUGCAUGCAUCAGGUACAUAUUGCAGAUGGUAUCUAAUUUAUUAGAGAUAGUCAAAAUUGUGCAUCAGCUAAUGUGGUUUUAAUUCCUGGAAAUAAUAAUGCUGUUGCUGCUUCUAAUGGAAUUUGCACGACAUUUCUCAAAGAAGGCGGUGUGAAUACAAAGGUGGACAUAAUCAUCAUUGAUGUGGACUCUGCAGAUUCAAGCUCUGGUAUGACUUGCCCCGCUGUGGAUUUUGUGGAAGACUCGUUUCUGCAUACUGUAAAGAAGAAUCUUUCUAAAAAUGGUCUACUUGUUAUUAAUUUGGUUGCACAGUCCCAAGCUAUCAAGGACCAAGUUAUUUCCAUAGCAUUUUUCUUGAUGUAAUUUGUGAUGCUAGAUAAUAACAAUAAAAUAUUUCUUUGUUUAUUUUGCAGAUGUGACAAGCGAAAUAGAAAAUAAUACUUAAUUUUGAAGGCUUUGUGUUGGGCAGCUGUAGAAUAUUUUGUGCUGAAAGUAGUAACUUUUCAAUAUGUUGAAUAUUUAAGACUACUUGAAUACUUAAAUAAUAUUUUGUUGUUGAUGACAGUGUUGAAUGUUUUAAACUAAUUUGUAGAUUGUUAAUACAAUGUUGAAUGUUUUUA